AGCCGAAACGCCAGCACGGAGGCUUGGCGUCGCGGCGGGUGGUACCCGUCGCCUGACGAUGGCAGCCAACC
Molecule: non-coding RNA, 71 nt
Filed under: Aporhodopirellula rubra
Lineage: Bacteria; Pseudomonadati; Planctomycetota; Planctomycetia; Pirellulales; Pirellulaceae
Source: RNAcentral